GCCCAGCAGAGCUUCGGUGGUCCGGAGUGCAGGCUUCAAACCUGUAGCUGAUUAACGUCAGAGUGGUUCGAUUCCACCUGUUGGGCG
RNAcentral lists this transfer RNA (87 nucleotides) under Cryptotermes secundus. RNAcentral's name for it is "tRNA-SeC (TCA) (tRNA-SeC-TCA-1-1)". It matches the Rfam family "Selenocysteine transfer RNA". Lineage: Eukaryota; Metazoa; Arthropoda; Insecta; Blattodea; Kalotermitidae. The record is from RNAcentral.